RNAcentral lists this ribosomal RNA (468 nucleotides) under uncultured bacterium. RNAcentral's name for it is "partial 16S ribosomal RNA". It matches the Rfam family "Bacterial small subunit ribosomal RNA", at positions 28 to 507 of the family's 1533-position model. The record is from RNAcentral.
GACGAACGCUGGCGGCGUGCUUAACACAUGCAAGUCGAACGGAAAGGCCCUGCUUUUGUGGGGUGCUCGAGUGGCGAACGGGUGAGUAACACGUGAGUAACCUGCCCUUGACUUUGGGAUAACUUCAGGAAACUGGGGCUAAUACCGGAUAGGAGCUCCUGCUGCAUGGUGGGGGUUGGAAAGUUUCGGCGGUUGGGGAUGGACUCGCGGCUUAUCAGCUUGUUGGUGGGGUAGUGGCUUACCAAGGCUUUGACGGGUAGCCGGCCUGAGAGGGUGACCGGCCACAUUGGGACUGAGAUACGGCCCAGACUCCUACUGGAGGCAGCAGUGGGGAAUAUUGCACAAUGGGCGGAAGCCUGAUGCAGCAACGCCGCGUGCGGGAUGACGGCCUUCGGGUUGUAAACCGCUUACGCCUGUGACGAAGCGUGAGUGACGGUAAUGGGUAAAGAAGCACCGGCUAACUACGUG